GAGCGGCACUGCUCUCUCUUCGUGGAUCUGAGCAGCGGCGAGCUGCGAAGGGACAUCUACAUCACGGUGCACAUCAUCCGGAUCGGUCGGAUGGGGGCGGGAGAGAAGAAGAACGCCUGCAGCGUGCAGUACCGGCGCCCCUUCGGCUGCGCGGUCCUCAGCAUCGCCGACCUGCUGACCGGGGAGACCAAGGACGACCUCAUCCUGAAAGUGUACAUGUGCAACACGGAGAGCGAGUGGCACCAGAUCCACGAGAACAUCAUCAAGAAGCUGAACGCGCGCUACAACCUGACCGGCUCCAAUGCAGG
Molecule: long non-coding RNA, 308 nt
Organism: Myotis lucifugus (little brown bat)
Lineage: Eukaryota; Metazoa; Chordata; Mammalia; Chiroptera; Vespertilionidae
Exons: 4
Source: RefSeq, a predicted model, not a curated record